CAGUAGCCGCGGGAAUACGGAGGGAGCUAGCGUUGUUCGGAAUUACUGGGCGUAAAGCGCGCGUAGGCGGUUACUCAAGUCAGAGGUGAAAGCCCGGGGCUCAACCCCGGAACUGCCUUUGAAACUAGGUGACUAGAAUCUUGGAGAGGUCAGUGGAAUUCCGAGUGUAGAGGUGAAAUUCGUAGAUAUUCGGAAGAACACCAGUGGCGAAGGCGACUGACUGGACAAGUAUUGACGCUGAGGUGCGAAAGCGUUGGGAGCAAACAGGAUUAGAUACCCCUGUAGUCCCUGUCUCUUAUAC
RNAcentral lists this ribosomal RNA (301 nucleotides) under uncultured bacterium. RNAcentral's name for it is "partial 16S ribosomal RNA". It matches the Rfam family "Bacterial small subunit ribosomal RNA", at positions 509 to 807 of the family's 1533-position model. The record is from RNAcentral.